AGAAAGAUUGAGCGACGGAAGCGUCAAUGCUUGCUUCAACUUCGCACUCAAGUGCUCAAGUAUAUCCUUGUGUCUGGCGGCACUGGCCCUUCCAAUAUCCAUAUCCAUGAAGGAUACGUACUCAAGUAUCGAAUCCUUGAGGAACUUCAAAUCUUCCUCUGAAGAAGCAGCAGGAUGAUCAGAUGGAGCAGGGCGAGACGUCUGGACUU
Molecule: long non-coding RNA, 209 nt
Filed under: Olea europaea (common olive)
Lineage: Eukaryota; Viridiplantae; Streptophyta; Magnoliopsida; Lamiales; Oleaceae
Description: long non-coding RNA (OEUR_LNC009756)
Source: RNAcentral